Molecule: ribosomal RNA, 465 nt
Filed under: uncultured bacterium
Lineage: Bacteria
Description: partial 16S ribosomal RNA
Rfam family: Bacterial small subunit ribosomal RNA
Source: RNAcentral
CCUACGGGUGACAGCAGUGGGGAAUAUUGCGCAAUGGGCGAAAGCCUGACGCAGCGACGCCGCGUGAGGGAUGAAGGUCUUCGGAUUGUAAACCUCUGUCAGCAGGGAAGAACGGUCACUGUGCUAAUCAGCAGUGAAUUGACGGUACCUGCAAAGGAAGCACCGGCUAACUCCGUGCCAGCAGCCGCGGUAAUACGGCGGGUGCGAGCGUUAAUCGGAAUUACUGGGCGUAAAGCGCUCGUAGGCGGUAUGUCAAGUCAAGGGUGAAAUCCCCGCGCUUAACGUGGGAACUGCCUUUGAAACUGGGAAACUGGAGUGUGUGAGAGGAUAGUGGAAUUCCAGGUGUAGGAGUGAAAUGCGUAGAUAUCUGGAGGAACAUCAGUGGCGAAGGCGACUAUCUGGCACAUAACUGACGCUGAGGAGCGAAAGCGUGGGUAGCAAACAGGAUUAGAUACCCUGGUAGUC